GGAAACUUUUCCGAAUGAAUUUACUUCUGGUGAUGGAAAAACAGCACACAAGGAUUUUGGACAUUUUUAUGAUUCUAUUCUCUCGAAUCCAUUCAGCAAUGCAAGAAAGUUCCUUUGAAUAAUGAGCAGGGU
Non-coding RNA from Parasteatoda tepidariorum (common house spider), 132 nucleotides. The record is from RefSeq and is a predicted model, not a curated record. Lineage: Eukaryota; Metazoa; Arthropoda; Arachnida; Araneae; Theridiidae.